RNAcentral lists this ribosomal RNA (253 nucleotides) under uncultured bacterium. Its description in RNAcentral is "partial 16S ribosomal RNA". It matches the Rfam family "Bacterial small subunit ribosomal RNA", at positions 524 to 776 of the family's 1533-position model. The record is from RNAcentral.
UACGGAGGGUGCUAGCGUUGUUCGGAAUUACUGGGCGUAAAGAGCGCGUAGGCGGCUAUGUAAGUUGGAAGUGAAAUCCCGGAGCUUAACUUCGGAACUGCUUUCAAGACUGCAUGGCUAGAAGAUGGUAGGGGAUAUUGGAAUUCCUAGUGUAGAGGUGAAAUUCGUAGAUAUUAGGAGGAACACCGGAGGCGAAAGCGGAUAUCUGGACCAAACUUGACGCUGUGGCGCGAAAGCGUGGGGAGCAAACAGG